GCCUGGCUGGCUCAGCUGGGGGAGCAUGUGACUUUUGAUCUUGUAGUCAUGAGUUCAAGCCUCAUGUUGGGCA
Molecule: transfer RNA, 73 nt
Filed under: Nyctereutes procyonoides (raccoon dog)
Lineage: Eukaryota; Metazoa; Chordata; Mammalia; Carnivora; Canidae
Also listed under: 1 other name
Rfam family: tRNA
About the family: Transfer RNA (tRNA) molecules are approximately 80 nucleotides in length. Their secondary structure includes four short double-helical elements and three loops (D, anti-codon, and T loops).
Source: Rfam by way of RNAcentral